RNAcentral lists this ribosomal RNA (415 nucleotides) under uncultured bacterium. RNAcentral's name for it is "bacterial SSU rRNA". It matches the Rfam family "Bacterial small subunit ribosomal RNA", at positions 954 to 1363 of the family's 1533-position model. The record is from RNAcentral.
GCUAAACGCGAAGAACCUUACCAGGCCUUGACAUGCAGAGAACUUUUCCAGAGAUGGAUUGGUGCCUUCGGGAACGUCUGACACAGGUGCUCGCAUGGCUGUCGUCAGCUCGUGUCGUGAGAUGUUGGGUUAAGUCCCGCAACGAGCGCAACCCCGUAGUCCUAUGUUGCCACCCGCGCAAGCGGCGCACUCUUAGGAGACUGCCUCGGAUAACGGGGAGGAAGGUGGGGACGACGGUCAAGUCCUCAUGGCCCUUAUGUCCAGGGCUACACACGUGAUACAAUGGCGACUACAGAGGGAUGCGAGGCCGCAAGGCGGAGCCAACCCACAAAAGUCGCCCAGUUCAGAUUGUGGGCUGCAACCCGCCCGACAUGAAGGCGGAAUCGCUAGUAAUCGCAGAUCAGCAGGCUGCGGU